CCUAACCCUACUCCAGCCCUAACCCCAACCUUCCUCUAACCCUAGUAGGGUUUGGGGUAGGUGUGGGUUUAGGGCUAGGCUUAGGGUUAGAUUCCUGUCAUCAUUCCCUUAAUUUUUCCUCCCUCUCCUGUUUUGCCACUUUUCAGAAAUCCGAAGCACUUCGGCACUUCAGAAAUUCGUCGGUUCGGUUUGGCACUUCCGCAAUUCAGGACUUCGGCAGUUCGGUUCGUCACUUCCAAAAUUCGUCAGUUCAGACAUUCUGAAGCAUCCGAAUGUCUGAGUUGCUGAAAUUCGGACCGAAUCAAAUU
Non-coding RNA from Pelobates cultripes (western spadefoot toad), 308 nucleotides. NCBI's taxonomy places the organism in Eukaryota, Metazoa, Chordata, Amphibia, Anura, Pelobatidae. The record is from the annotation of a GenBank genome assembly.